This 64-nucleotide small nucleolar RNA is filed under the name Castor canadensis (American beaver). RNAcentral describes it as "Small nucleolar RNA SNORD77 (ENSCCNG00000022266.1)". It matches the Rfam family "Small nucleolar RNA SNORD77". Rfam says of the family: U77 belongs to the C/D family of snoRNAs. It is predicted to guide 2'O-ribose methylation of large 28S rRNA subunit at position A1521. Lineage: Eukaryota; Metazoa; Chordata; Mammalia; Rodentia; Castoridae. The record is from Rfam by way of RNAcentral.
GUACUAUGAUGGUUGCAUAGUUCAGCAGAUUAAGUCAUGAAUACUCGAUUUAUCUGUUGUAUCU